UAUGCAUUGUGUUUGUGGCACCCUCCAUGGAUCAUCUCUUGUGAGCUAUGCUUUCCUUGUGUAAAUUGUUAAACUUCAUGUGUCUCUCUCUUUGUCUCCAAUGUGGGUUUAUCUCAGGACUUCCCAGGUCGAUAUUCAAUGUUUUCCUGUAGGGGUUAGUCCAACAAAAUAUCCAAUAUCUACUAUAGCAUACUAUAGGCUCAAAAAUCAACCUAGACACCAUGUCUAAUUUGAUUUAGGAGGGCAUUUUAACCUAAGCAUCAU
RNAcentral lists this long non-coding RNA (264 nucleotides) under Sorghum bicolor (sorghum). Its description in RNAcentral is "long non-coding RNA (SBIC_LNC002955)". Lineage: Eukaryota; Viridiplantae; Streptophyta; Magnoliopsida; Poales; Poaceae. The record is from RNAcentral.